This is a non-coding RNA of Meleagris gallopavo (turkey), 839 nucleotides long. The record is from RefSeq and is a predicted model, not a curated record. Lineage: Eukaryota; Metazoa; Chordata; Aves; Galliformes; Phasianidae.
ACGGCAAGAGAGAUAUUUGAGAAGUCUGUUUCAUCCAUCUAGCAUGUUCUAAAGACCUGAAAUCUGCAUUUUUUUUUUACUUUCACAGUGUCAGGAAAGUUGCUACAUUACCCUUGAGAAGAAAAUAACAUCCCCUACAAGCAGAGGCCAGCAGAACUUCCCAGAAUUUGUCUAAGGGUCUCCUGCUGGAGGAAAAAAGUCUGAAACAAUUGAGGUUGCAUAGUUGCUGUACCCAUGGAGAAGGAGAAAGGGGCGUAUCUUCAAGUAACUUUGGUCACAUCUCACAAUGGAUAAAUUUAAUGUCAGCGAUUGCAAGGGACCAUGAAGGAUCAUCUAGUCCAAUCCCUCUGCCAGAGCAGAAACACUUAAAUCAGGUCACACAGGAGUGUGCCCAGAGGCGUUGUGCUGAAUCCCUUUGGUAAAAGCACAGGCAACCAAGCCGAGAAGGAGGAAAAGGACGGGGCACACAGCCUCAUAAAUACUCAGUGCAAACAGCUCGUUGGACAGGUGAUGAGGGCGAGGUGUAGUUACCACAAACCGGCUUUACGGAAACAAGGCUAGGAAACCCCGCCGGCGCUCCCCGGGUGGUGCAAUGCCGCCACCUGGCGGCCUCCCGCCGCCUCCUCCCGCUUAGCUCCUCGUUCCGCUGCUCCGCGCCGCCUCAGCCUGCGGCCUGUUCGCUGCCCUCGCCUGAGUGGGGGCUGCGUCAGGCUGAGAGCGGCGCUGCCAGCAGGGGGCUGUAGAGUAACGAGGGCUAAGAACGGAGAGACCCAGAGGGCCCGGCUGCCUCAGUCACGCCGUCAUUCUGUGAAGAGUCUUUCAGCCAUGUAGAUGUUUAC